RNAcentral lists this ribosomal RNA (253 nucleotides) under uncultured bacterium. RNAcentral describes it as "partial 16S ribosomal RNA". It matches the Rfam family "Bacterial small subunit ribosomal RNA", at positions 524 to 776 of the family's 1533-position model. The record is from RNAcentral.
UACGUAGGGGGCAAGCGUUGUCCGGAUUCAUUGGGCGUAAAGAGCGUGUAGGCGGCCAGGUAGGUCGGUUGUGAAAACUGGAGGCUCAACCUUCAGACGUCGACCGAAACCAUCUGGCUAGAGUCCGAGAGAGGAGAGUGGAAUUCCUGGUGUAGCGGUGAAAUGCGCAGAUAUCAGGAAGAACACCCGUGGCGAAAGCGGCUCUCUGGAACGGUACUGACGCUGAGACGCGAAAGCGUGGGGAGCGAACAGG